UUAAUUGUAGUUUUUUGUAGUUUAAUGUAAUUUCAUGUAAUUUUUAUUUGGAACUGUCACUGUUGACUCAAAUUUGUGUAUUUGUCUAUACCAAAGGAAGAUCUUACUGAUAUUGACAAACACCGUAGUGAACAAUUUUUCAUGAAUACUGAAUCACUGGAAACACUUCAUAUAACCUACAUCUGACUACAUUUUAAAAACAAUCUAGAAACACUUCAUAUAACCUUAGCUACAUUUGACUACAUUUUAAAAACAC
This 256-nucleotide long non-coding RNA is filed under the name Nicotiana benthamiana. Its description in RNAcentral is "long non-coding RNA (NBEN_LNC022423)". Lineage: Eukaryota; Viridiplantae; Streptophyta; Magnoliopsida; Solanales; Solanaceae. The record is from RNAcentral.